This 397-nucleotide ribosomal RNA is filed under the name uncultured bacterium. Its description in RNAcentral is "partial 16S ribosomal RNA". It matches the Rfam family "Bacterial small subunit ribosomal RNA", at positions 523 to 918 of the family's 1533-position model. The record is from RNAcentral.
AUACGUAGGGGGCGAGCGUUGUCCGGAAUGAUUGGGCGUAAAGGGCGCGUAGGCGGCCCGGUAAGUCUGGAGUGAAAGUCCUGUUUUUAAGAUGGGAAUUGCUUUGGAUACUGUCGGGCUUGAGUGCAGGAGAGGUAAGUGGAAUUCCCAGUGUAGCGGUGAAAUGCGUAGAGAUUGGGAGGAACACCAGUGGCGAAGGCGGCUAUCUGGACAGUAACUGACGCUGGGGCGCGAAAGCGUGGGGAGCAAACAGGAUUAGAUACCCUGGUAGUCCACACUGUAAACGAUGAAUGCUAGGUGUAAGAGGUAUCGACCCCUUUUGUGCCGGAGUUAACACAAUAAGCAUUCCGCCUGGGGAGUACGGACGCAAGGUUGAAACUCAAAUGAAUUGACGGGG